GUGUUCACUUCAGCAGCACAUAUACUAAAAUUGGAACAAUAUAGAGAAGAUUGCAUGAUCCCUGCGCAAGGAUGACACACAAAUUUGUGCAGCAUUCUUUUUUUUU
Small nuclear RNA from Tupaia belangeri (northern tree shrew), 106 nucleotides. Lineage: Eukaryota; Metazoa; Chordata; Mammalia; Scandentia; Tupaiidae. The record is from Ensembl.